Regulatory RNA element from Acidovorax sp. MR-S7, 60 nucleotides. It matches the Rfam family "Xanthine riboswitch aptamer (NMT1 RNA)". From Rfam's summary of the family: Later it was reported as a ncRNA that recognised Xanthine. Lineage: Bacteria; Pseudomonadati; Pseudomonadota; Betaproteobacteria; Burkholderiales; Comamonadaceae. The record is from Rfam.
CGCGAGAGUAGAAGCGUUCAGCCGGGCCGCAGGCCGCCCGCGCGGGUCAUUGCUCUUGUU